UACAGAGGUCUCGAGCGUUAUUCGGAAUCACUGGGCUUAAAGCGUACGUAGGCGGAUAUGCAGGCGUCGUGUGAAAUCCCUCAGCUCAACUGAGGAACUGCACGGCGAACCGCAUGUCUUGAGACAAGUAGGGGCGGUCGGAACGAUAGGUGGAGUGGUGAAAUGCGUUGAGAUCUAGCGGAAUGCCGAAGGUGAAAACAGGCCGCUGGGCUUGGGCUGACGCUGAGGUACGAAAGCGUGGGGAGCGAACGGG
RNAcentral lists this ribosomal RNA (253 nucleotides) under uncultured bacterium. RNAcentral describes it as "partial 16S ribosomal RNA". It matches the Rfam family "Bacterial small subunit ribosomal RNA", at positions 524 to 776 of the family's 1533-position model. The record is from RNAcentral.